UUGUUUUUUUUAUUUUCUUUUUAAUUUCAGAAUUUAUAUUUAAUUGCUUUAUUUUGUUUAAUUCAUAAUAAUUUCAUUUUUAAUCCAAAAAAUAUGGGACUUUCACCAAAAAUAUUUUUGGAUUUUUCUCUUUUAUAUUCUGAAUUAAAAUUAUUUUUCGGAUUAAUUUUGAUAUUUUUCAUGAAUUAAAUAUUUUUGUGUAUGUUUUUAAUUGAUUAAAAAUACUUCUGAUUUUUCAAAAGUGAUGAUUUUUU
Molecule: long non-coding RNA, 254 nt
Filed under: Lathyrus oleraceus (garden pea)
Lineage: Eukaryota; Viridiplantae; Streptophyta; Magnoliopsida; Fabales; Fabaceae
Description: Pisum sativum (pea) long non-coding RNA (PSAT_LNC010522)
Source: RNAcentral